RNAcentral lists this small RNA (28 nucleotides) under Bombyx mori (domestic silkworm). RNAcentral describes it as "ovarian small RNA-13334". Lineage: Eukaryota; Metazoa; Arthropoda; Insecta; Lepidoptera; Bombycidae. The record is from RNAcentral.
CAGUCAACUUAAAAAAGAAAUUGUCAAC